CCAACAAUGCAUGGUUACGGAUGUCCUCGGCCAGGAAACUCUUUCUUUUCUCUUCGAUUUUCAGUGACAUCACUUUGGUUUAUGCUUGAUUCGGUGUGCAUUGUGAUUUUUCUCUUUUUAAGAUUGUUGUUUGGUUGGAUGUAGAAACAAAUGAAGAUGUGAAAAGGAUAAUUGUGAGGAUAUGAGGCUUCAAGAAAUAACCGUCAUAUUAGGUUGGUAUAAAGGUGAAGAGCUUCAAGGCCUUGUUGGUUUGCAAGGCGCUGGUUGUUGAUGCGAGCUUAUUUGGAGCCUCCAGAUUAUCCUGGGCAUCAUCAAAAGGAUGGCAGCAAUGGACUUUGUCAUGGAUCUGAGCAAAAAGAAGAGUCCCGGGAAGGUGAAUUGUAGGAAGGAGACGACCAGUACUGGUCAAAACUGUUGUGUUGGAGGAGGAUUUGGUCCUUUCUUUCGUUAAAAUGGUAAGAGAUGCCUGCAAAGUAUUACUCCACUGAAGUCUGAGAUGAGUAUACAGGAGUAUGAGUCUUCUAUUUGCAGG
Lolium rigidum is the source of this 532-nucleotide long non-coding RNA. RefSeq lists it as uncharacterized. The transcript is spliced from 5 exons. NCBI's taxonomy places the organism in Eukaryota, Viridiplantae, Streptophyta, Magnoliopsida, Poales, Poaceae. The record is from RefSeq and is a predicted model, not a curated record.